AGAAUCAACGCUGGCGGCGUGCCUAACACAUGCAAGUCGAACGAGAAAGGGGAGCAAUCCCUGAGUACAGUGGCGACCGGGUGAGUAACACGUGACUAACCUACCCUCGAGUGUGGAAUAACAUCGGGAAACCGAUGCUAAUACCGCAUAACAUCGCAAGAUCAAAGGAGUAAUCCGCUUGAGGAGGGGGUCGCGGCUGAUUAGCUAGUUGGCGGGGUAAUGGCCCACCAAUGCGAAGAUCGGUA
This 245-nucleotide ribosomal RNA is filed under the name uncultured bacterium. RNAcentral's name for it is "partial small subunit ribosomal RNA". It matches the Rfam family "Bacterial small subunit ribosomal RNA", at positions 26 to 285 of the family's 1533-position model. The record is from RNAcentral.